This is a non-coding RNA of Mycena epipterygia, 83 nucleotides long. NCBI's taxonomy places the organism in Eukaryota, Fungi, Basidiomycota, Agaricomycetes, Agaricales, Mycenaceae. The record is from the annotation of a GenBank genome assembly.
GCCUCUGUGGAUCAGUGGUUAAAUCGCGUCGACUAUGUAGCUCCGAUGUCGAUGAAGUGUGGGUUCGAAUCCCACCAGAGGUA